This 222-nucleotide unclassified non-coding RNA is filed under the name uncultured Gammaproteobacteria bacterium. Its description in RNAcentral is "contains 16S-23S intergenic spacer region". Lineage: Bacteria; Pseudomonadati; Pseudomonadota; Gammaproteobacteria. The record is from RNAcentral.
UCCGGUUUGUCACCGGCAGUCUCAUUAGAGUGCUCAACUGAAUGUAGCAACUAAUGACAAGGGUUGCGCUCGUUGCGGGACUUAACCCAACAUCUCACGACACGAGCUGACGACAGCCAUGCAGCACCUGUGUUCAGGUUCCCUUUCGGGCACCUCUGCAUUUCUGCAGAGUUCCUGACAUGUCAAGGGUAGGUAAGGUGGGGAUGACGUAGCUAAGCCUUC